CUCGCUCCUUCUUCCCUCAGCCGCCGCAUUGUUCCAUGGACGCCAACCACCCUAGCAACACCGUCGCCGAUCUAGCCCGUCCACACCGGUCGGCCAAGCGACGCCGCCCCCAUCCCCUUCAUCAAGCACGCCGCCUCCCCCGCACCCCCGAGGCCCCGACCCAUGCCGCCGCUCCCGCACCCUCAACCCAUGCCGCUAGCCAUUCCCCAUCGGUGACAGCCCAUACCCACGCGCCCUCUGACGCACGCCGCCACCCAGUCCCCAUCGGUGAGGACCUACACCCGCGCCUCCAAUGUCCCACGCCGCCAUCCAGUCCCCAUCGGCGAUGACCUGCACCAGCAACCCACAUCGCCGCCCGUCCCCAUCGAUCCACGUCGCAACCGCACCCCCACCCAGAACAUCCGCCCCAUUCCUCGAGCACGACGCCGCCUCGUACCCCUCACCACCCACGCCGCCGUCCCAAUCCCCCACCACGACACCUCCCCAUCCCCUUCGCCAUUACCGCCUCUGCUUCGCGUUGCACGGCAGCUCGGCCUCUUGCUUCGAAGGAGGAGGUCCAAGUGAAGCUCCCAUAUAUUAAAUGUAAGAUGAGGCUCAUUUCAUAUAACAUUGCAUGCUCAUUACAAGCGGAAAUGAUGGCUGACUGUAAAGAUGGGUUUAAGAUUCCACAUCUGUUGUUUGGAGGAGCUUUUGAUCACCAUGCGCUUGCCUUUCAAUGUUGAAUAUAAGCUAAUCGCUCUUGAAUCUCUUGUGAUGUAUGGUGUGAAGAUGCUAUUGAUGGUCACUAAAAGCUCACAGCUGAAGAAUUGAUAUGAUGUUGCAAACGAUUUCUUUUAGUAGACAGGUGAUGUAUCAAAUAGACCAAUACUAGAAAAUCGAGCAGAGAUCACACAACAAAAGAAGCAAGUGCUGGUCCAACAGGAGAAUCAACUAGAAAACAUCAAAACACAACUGUUGCCCAAAAGACUCUGCAAAUGGAGGUUGUUCGUAAAGUUCUGAAGAAGCAACCAUCACAGCCAGUGGCAAUCGUCACAUGUAGAAGGUCACCGGUAUAAUACUUUUGCAUCCACAAGUUUUAAGAGGGUGUUUUGUGAGCUAAAAGGAUCUUCUGUUGUACUCCCUCUGUCUCAAAAUAAAUGUCUCAACCAUAGUACAACUUUGUACUAACUCUAGUACAAAGUUGAGGCACUUACUCUGGGAUAGAGGGAGUAUAUGUUUCUAACUAAAACCAGGCCUUAUAUUUUGCUCUUUUUUCUAUGAUGUAAUAUUGGACUUAUCAGAACCUACAAAUGUAUGUAUGUGCAUGUAGACAUGAUGGAUCUUUGUGUUUCUGGCUAUCAUGUAAUACUGGACUUGUAACCCUAUGAAUGAUGGACUGCCCAGAUAUAUACAUGGAUACACAUUAUCUCUUAAA
This is a long non-coding RNA of Triticum aestivum (bread wheat), 1414 nucleotides long. RefSeq lists it as uncharacterized. NCBI's taxonomy places the organism in Eukaryota, Viridiplantae, Streptophyta, Magnoliopsida, Poales, Poaceae. The transcript is spliced from 6 exons. The record is from RefSeq and is a predicted model, not a curated record.